UUAAGAAAAUAAGUGCAAGCGGUGGAUGCCUUGGCAUUCAGAGGCGAUGAAGGACGUGUUAAUCUGCGAUAAGCUUCGGGGAGCUGGUAAAUAAGCUUUGAUCCGGAGAUUUCCGAAUGGGGGAACCCACCUGGCAUAAGCUGGGUACUCACUCGAUAUGGAGUGUAGAGCGAACGAGGGAACUGAAACAUCUAAGUACCCUUAGUACUGACUCGAUGCAAACUCAGAAUACGAUGAAGUUUAAUCACGGGAGACACACUGCGGGUGCUAAGGUCCGCAGUGGAAAGGGAAACAGCCCAGACCGCCAACUAAGGUCCCUAAGUCAUAACUAAGUGGGAAACGAAGUGGGAAGGCCCAGACAGCCAGGAGGUUGGCUUAGAAGCAGCCACCCUUUAAAGAAAGCGUAAUAGCUCACUGGUCGAGUCGGCCUGCACGUAAGAUUUAACGGGGCUAAGUUAUGCACCGAAGUUGCGGAAUAUAUUUAGUAUAUUGGUAGGGGAGCGUUCUGUAAGCUGAUGAAGGUAUGUUGAGAAGCAUGCUGGAGGUAUCAGAAGUGCGAAUGCUGACAUGAGUAACGUAAAAUAAGUGAGAUUCUUAUUGGCCGAAAACCCAAGGAUUCCUACGCAAUGUUAAUCAACGUAGGGUAAGCCGGCCCCUAAGGCGUAGCUGAAGAGUGAAGUCGAUGGGAAACAGGUUAAUAUUCCUGUGCCGCUUAUAUGAACGAAGGAGGGACGGAGAAGGUUAGGUAGGCCUGGCGAAUGGUUGUCCAGGUGAAAGUAUGUAGGUAGGAAUGCUAGGCAAAUCCGGUGUUCUGUUGAUCUGAGAUACGAGACGAAGUCAAACUUGUUUGACGAAGCUAUUGAUACCAUGCUUCCAGGAAAAGCUUCUAAGUAUAUUGUAUAAGCGACCGUACUGUAAACCGACACUGGUGGGUAGGUAGAGAAUACUAAGGCUAUGAGAUAACUCUGGUGAAGGAACUAGGCAAAAUGACACCGUAACUUUGGAAGAAGGUGUGCCCUUGAUGGUGAUGAGACUGCUCUCUAAGCUGUUGGGGGUUGCAAAUACCAGGUGGCUGCGACUGUUUAUCAAAAACACAGCACUCUGCUAAAUCGUAAGAUGAAGUAUAGGGUGUGACGCCUGCCCGGUGCUGGAAGGUUAAUUGAAGGGGUUAGCGCAAGCGAAGCUCUGGAUCGAAGCCCAGUAAACGGCGGCCGUAACUAUAACGGUCCUAAGGUAGCGAAAUUCCUUGUCGGGUAAGUUCCGACCUGCACGAAUGGCGUAACGACGGCCACACUGUCUCCACCAGAGACUCAGUGAAAUUGAAAUCGCUGUGAAGAUGCAGUGUACCCGCGGUUAGACGGAAAGACCCCGUGAACCUUUACUAUAGCUUUGCACUGGACUUUGAAUAUUUAUGUGUAGGAUAGGUGGGAGACUUUGAAGCAGUUACGCUAGUAGCUGUGGAGUCAUCCUUGAAAUACCACCCUUGAGUAUUUGAAGUUCUAACUCAGGAGAGAUUCGAGGACAGUGUAUGGUGGGUAGUUUGACUGGGGCGGUCUCCUCCUAAAGAGUAACGGAGGAGUACGAAGGUGCACUCGGUACGGUCGGAAAUCGUACCAAGAGUAUAAAGGCAAAAGUGCGCUUGACUGCGAGAGUGACGGCUCGAGCAGGUACGAAAGUAGGUCUUAGUGAUCCGGUGGUCCCGUAUGGAAGGGCCAUCGCUCAACGGAUAAAAGGUACUCCGGGGAUAACAGGCUGAUUCCUCCCAAGAGUUCAUAUCGACGGAGGAGUUUGGCACCUCGAUGUCGGCUCAUCACAUCCUGGGGCUGAAGCAGGUCCCAAGGGUAUGGCUGUUCGCCAUUUAAAGUGGUACGCGAGCUGGGUUCAGAACGUCGUGAGACAGUUCGGUCCCUAUCUGCCGUGGGCGUUAGAGAUUUGAGAAGAGUUGCUCCUAGUACGAGAGGACCGGAGUGAACGAACCACUGGUGUUCCGGUUGUUUCGCCAGAAGCAUUGCCGGGUAGCUAUGUUCGGAAGGGAUAACCGCUGAAAGCAUCUAAGCGGGAAGCCUCCUUCAAGAUUAGAUCUCUCUGAUGAAAAUCAGUAAGGAACGUUGGAGACUACGACGUUGAUAGGCUGGGUGUGGAAGUACAGCAAUGUAUGAAGCUUACCAGUACUAAUGAUCCGAGAGACUUAAGUCUAU
RNAcentral lists this ribosomal RNA (2198 nucleotides) under Francisella orientalis LADL 07-285A. Its description in RNAcentral is "bacterial LSU rRNA". It matches the Rfam family "Bacterial large subunit ribosomal RNA". The record is from RNAcentral. Lineage: Bacteria; Pseudomonadati; Pseudomonadota; Gammaproteobacteria; Thiotrichales; Francisellaceae.